RNAcentral lists this transfer RNA (68 nucleotides) under Marmota monax (woodchuck). Its description in RNAcentral is "tRNA.Ser". Lineage: Eukaryota; Metazoa; Chordata; Mammalia; Rodentia; Sciuridae. The record is from RNAcentral.
GUUGUGGCUCAGUGGUGGAAUACUUGCCUAGAAUGUGUGAGGCACUGGGUUCGAUUCUCAGCACAACA